Molecule: non-coding RNA, 142 nt
Submitted as: unclassified sequences
Source: Rfam
UUCUUAAUUAAGAGGCAACUCUUAACUGGCCAUUUAAGGAAAAACCGAGAGGUUCAAGCUUAAAGGGCAGAAAGGUGGACCUAGUAGCGCUAGAAUAGUUCACCGAUAUGGCUUGGCGGUAGCGCCUAAAACGACGAGCCAA